AUUGAACGCUGGCGGAAUGCUUUACACAUGCAAGUCGAACGGCAGCACGGGGGCAACCCUGGUGGCGAGUGGCGAACGGGUGAGUAAUAUAUCGGAACGUGCCCAGUCGUGGGGGAUAACGUAGCGAAAGUUACGCUAAUACCGCAUACGAUCUACGGAUGAAAGCGGGGGAUCGCAAGACCUCGCGCGAUUGGAGCGGCCGAUAUCAGAUUAGGUAGUUGGUGAGGUAAAGGCUCACCAAGCCAACGAUCUGUAGCUGGUGUGAGAGGACGCCCAGCCACAUUGGGACGGAGACACGGCCCAGACUCCUACGAGAGGCAGCAGUGGGGAAUUUUGGACAAUGGGCGCAAGCCUGAUCCAGCCAUUCCGCGUGCAGGACGAAGGCCUUCGGGUUGUAAACUGCUUUUGUACGGAACGAAAAAGCCUUGGCUAAUACCCAGGGUCCAUGACGGUACCGUAAGAAUAAGCACCGGCUAACUACGUGCCAGCCGCCGCGGUAA
This 500-nucleotide ribosomal RNA is filed under the name uncultured bacterium. RNAcentral describes it as "partial 16S ribosomal RNA". It matches the Rfam family "Bacterial small subunit ribosomal RNA", at positions 30 to 523 of the family's 1533-position model. The record is from RNAcentral.